UCUUUGCUAGUAUAUCGGUUAGUACACGCGCCUGUCAUUCUAAUUAUCUAAAGACAUUGAUCGCGCGAAAGCUGGGUUCGACUCCCAGGCAGAGAG
Termitomyces sp. 'cryptogamus' is the source of this 96-nucleotide non-coding RNA. NCBI's taxonomy places the organism in Eukaryota, Fungi, Basidiomycota, Agaricomycetes, Agaricales, Lyophyllaceae. The record is from the annotation of a GenBank genome assembly.